Molecule: unclassified non-coding RNA, 347 nt
Filed under: soil metagenome
Description: partial contains 5.8S ribosomal RNA, internal transcribed spacer 2, and large subunit ribosomal RNA
Rfam family: 5.8S ribosomal RNA (bases 1-120)
Source: RNAcentral
GAUGAAGAACGCAGCGAAAUGCGAUAAGUAAUGUGAAUUGCAGAAUUCAGUGAAUCAUCGAAUCUUUGAACGCACAUUGCGCCCGCCAGUAUUCUGGCGGGCAUGCCUGUCUGAGCGUCAUUUCAACCCUCAUGCCCCUAGGGCGUGGUGUUGGGGAUCGGCCAAAGCCCGCGAGGGACGGCCGGCCCCUAAAUCUAGUGGCGGACCCGUCGUGGCCUCCUCUGCGAAGUAGUGAUAUUCCGCAUCGGAGAGCGAUGAGCCCCUGCCGUUAAACCCCCAACUUUCCAAGGUUGACCUCAGAUCAGGUAGGAAUACCCGCUGAACUUAAGCAUAUCAUAAGCGGAGGA